AUGGAUGGGUGGAUGGUUAUAAUUGCACUGCUCACAGGAGAGCCGUGAAAGCCUCCGGUGGUGUCGGUAUUUUUGUUAAUAACUCUGUUUUUGACCAGUAUGAUGUAACCAUAGCAGAUAAACCAUUUGAUGGAAUCCUUUGUUUAUGUUGUGAGCAUCGGUUGUCACGUUACACUUUAUUAUUUCACCGUGGUAACGUUAGUUUUCAGUUUGAUAUUCAACAGAUAUUUGGACACCCAGUCAUGUUUUGCUGACCCCAUGCUGCUUUGUUGUGGGGUUGUGACCCCAGUUUCACCACCGCGUUUUCACUACUGGUGGAUAAUUAGUGGCCAUCAUCAAAUUACAGGUAGCAGUUUUCAAAGAACAAUAUCUCCUCAGCCACAUGAGCUAUAAAUGUCAAAAUGAUUCUAAACUAUUCAACAUGGGUCCAUGAAUGUUGCACCUCCUUUAUUUUGCCCAUUUUCAUCUCAUGCUAUUUUAUAUAAAUUUUUCAAUGUUUCAAAGUUCAAUAAUUUUUUAGUCACGUGACCUACACACCUCAAAUCACUACCCGAUUGCUCAUCCUGCCACAUGUUGCACAGCCUUUGUUUGAGAAAAAAAGUUUUCAUUGAAAAAUAUGUGUAUCCUUUUGUGAACAUAGAGACAAAAGGCCUCCUGUAUGAAAAACAAACAAACAAAAAAGAAAAAGAAAGCACAAUCAGCAGAUAGACACAACAACAAACAGAGGUACCAGCACAUCACACAUGCAGGGGUGAUAGGAAUCCGGUACCAUACCGGAAUUCCAGCAUGGAGCAUUGGGUGAUGAGAUUAAAAAAAUGCAGGAUACAUGCGUGCAAAAAAAAAAGAAAAAAAAAAGCUGACUGCUGAAUGGAGACGUGUUACUCUCAGCCA
Long non-coding RNA from Melanotaenia boesemani (Boeseman's rainbowfish), 891 nucleotides. RefSeq lists it as uncharacterized. The record is from RefSeq and is a predicted model, not a curated record. The transcript has 2 exons. Lineage: Eukaryota; Metazoa; Chordata; Actinopteri; Atheriniformes; Melanotaeniidae.